This 490-nucleotide ribosomal RNA is filed under the name uncultured bacterium. Its description in RNAcentral is "partial 16S ribosomal RNA". It matches the Rfam family "Bacterial small subunit ribosomal RNA", at positions 30 to 507 of the family's 1533-position model. The record is from RNAcentral.
AUUGAACGCUGGCGGCAGGCCUAACACAUGCAAGUCGAACGGUAACAGGAAGCAGCUUGCUGCUUUGCUGACGAGUGGCGGACGGGUGAGUAAUGUCUGGGAAACUGCCUGAUGGAGGGGGAUAACUACUGGAAACGGUAGCUAAUACCGCAUAACGUCGCAAGACCAAAGAGGGGGACCUUCGGGCCUCUUGCCAUCGGAUGUGCCCAGAUGGGAUUAGCUAGUAGGUGGGGUAACGGCUCACCUAGGCGACGAUCCCUAGCUGGUCUGAGAGGAUGACCGGCCACACUGGAACUGAGACACGGUCCAGACUCCUACGGGAGGCAGCAGUGGGGAAUAUUGCACAAUGGGCGCAAGCCUGAUGCAGCCAUGCCGCGUGUAUGAAGAAGGCCUUCGGGUUGUAAAGUACUUUCAGCGGGGAGGAAGAGAGUAGAGUUAAUACCUUUGCUCAUUGACGUUACCCGCAGAAGAAGCACCGGCUAACUCCGUG